AUUGAACGCUGGCGGCAGGCUUAACACAUGCAAGUCGAGCGGAUGAAGGGAGCUUGCUCUUGGAUCCAGCGGCGGGCGGGUGAGUAAUGCCUAGGAACCUGCCCGGUCGUGGGGGAUAACGUCCGGAAACGGGCGCUAAUACCGCAUACGUUCUGAGGGAGAAAGUGGGGGAUCUUCGGACCUCACGCUAUCAGAUGAGCCUAGGUCGGAUUAGCUAGUUGGUGGGGUAAAGGCCUACCAAGGCGACGAUCCGUAACUGGUCUGAGAGGAUGAUCAGUCACACUGGAACUGAGACACGGUCCAGACUCCUACGGGAGGCAGCAGUGGGGAAUAUUGGACAAUGGGCGAAAGCCUGAUCCAGCCAUGCCGCGUGUGGGAAGAAGGUCUUCGGAUUGUAAAGCACUUUAAGUUGGGAGGAAGGGCAGUAAGUUAAUACCUUGCUGUUUUGACGUUACCGACAGAAUAAGCACCGGCUAACUUCGUG
RNAcentral lists this ribosomal RNA (484 nucleotides) under uncultured bacterium. RNAcentral's name for it is "partial 16S ribosomal RNA". It matches the Rfam family "Bacterial small subunit ribosomal RNA", at positions 30 to 507 of the family's 1533-position model. The record is from RNAcentral.